Molecule: non-coding RNA, 120 nt
Organism: Ceraceosorus guamensis
Lineage: Eukaryota; Fungi; Basidiomycota; Exobasidiomycetes; Ceraceosorales; Ceraceosoraceae
Source: the annotation of a RefSeq genome assembly
UCCUCGUUCGUCCAGUGGUUAGGAUACUGCUCUUUCAUUUCUGGCAUGGACGCUUGCGGCAUGUGCCGUAGUUCUCCAUGGGAGACAGCAGCGGCCCGGGUUCGAUCCCCGGACGGGGAA